AAGAUCUCUUUCCUCCCCAGUGUGUCUGACAGAUCUCUUUCCUCCCCAGUGUGUCUGAAAGAUCUCUUUCCUCCCCAGUGUGUCUGAAAGAUCUCUUUCCUCCCCAGUGUGUCUGACAGAUCCCAAUGUGACAGCUCCACUCAACUCCAGCUGGGACGGCUUCACCAGGACCCUGGGAACCCAGGUGAAUAUAUCAUGUCCGGCCGGGCAGGUGUUUCCAGACCUGAACACGUCAGUAAGCAUCUCGUGUGGUGAGAACGGCACUUGGUCCACUCCACCCCCGGGCUACCUGGUCUGUAGGACAGUUGCGGUGACUGCGCCUCCAGCUGCUCCACUGGGCGCUGUUAUGACUGGGGCACCGCCCUACUGGGUGGGCACUAGUCUGAACUACACGUGUAUCCCUCCCCAGUCUACGCUGACAGGGGCCACUUAUGCUACUGUCACUUACCUGCAGGGAGGCUGGACUACUCUCGACCCUACCUUCACCUGCCAUAAUGUGUGUCUGAGUUCUCCACCAUCACCACCAGCAGGAGUUAUUGCCAACCUAAGCAACGAUAUAGCAGAGUAUGGCAUGAUGGUCACCUACACCUGCCUCGCCACCAAUCACACCUUCACCACCACAUCCACCUGCAACAACGCCACCUGGACACCUGCCACCAUCCCCAACUGUAUUGGUGAGAGACUUACUCUUUCACUCACAUAUUAACACACACACACACACACACACACA
Molecule: non-coding RNA, 730 nt
Organism: Cherax quadricarinatus
Lineage: Eukaryota; Metazoa; Arthropoda; Malacostraca; Decapoda; Parastacidae
Source: RefSeq, a predicted model, not a curated record